CUUGAUAAAAUAUAAGAGGUCCAGCCUGCCCAGUGACAUAGUUAAACGGCCGCGGUACCCUGACCGUGCGAAGGUAGCAUAAUCACUUGUUCUUUAAAUGGGGACUCGUAUCAACGGCAUCACGAGGGCUUUACUGUCUCCUUUCUCCAAUCAGUGAAACUGAUCUCCCCGUGAAGAAGCGGGGAUGACAAUAUAAGACGAGAAGACCCCAUGGAGCUUUAAACCCAACGACACCCCUCAACCCCCCAACCCAUUAUAGUUGCUACAGCCCUGUUCGUUGGUUUUAGGUUGGGGUGACCGCGGAGUAUAAAUUACCCUCCACGACGAAUGGGACUACCCCCUUACCCAAGAGCUACUCCUCUAAGGAUCAACAGAUUGACGUAAAAUGAUCCAAGCAUUUGAUCAA
This 406-nucleotide ribosomal RNA is filed under the name Hoplobatrachus rugulosus (rugose frog). RNAcentral describes it as "partial 16S ribosomal RNA". It matches the Rfam family "Bacterial large subunit ribosomal RNA", at positions 1834 to 2452 of the family's 2925-position model. Lineage: Eukaryota; Metazoa; Chordata; Amphibia; Anura; Dicroglossidae. The record is from RNAcentral.